Molecule: ribosomal RNA, 424 nt
Filed under: uncultured Fusobacterium sp.
Lineage: Bacteria; Fusobacteriati; Fusobacteriota; Fusobacteriia; Fusobacteriales; Fusobacteriaceae
Description: bacterial SSU rRNA
Rfam family: Bacterial small subunit ribosomal RNA
Source: RNAcentral
CCUACGGGAGGCAGCAGUGAGGAAUAUUGGUCAAUGGCCGAGAGGCUGAACCAGCCAAGUCGCGUGAGGGAUGAAGGUUCUAUGGAUCGUAAACCUCUUUUAUAAGGGAAUAAAGUGCGGGACGUGUCCCGUUUUGUAUGUACCUUAUGAAUAAGGAUCGGCUAACUCCGUGCCAGCAGCCGCGGUAAUACGGAGGAUCCGAGCGUUAUCCGGAUUUAUUGGGUUUAAAGGGAGCGCAGACGGGUCGUUAAGUCAGCUGUGAAAGUUUGGGGCUCAACCUUAAAAUUGCAGUUGAUACUGGCGUCCUUGAGUGCGGUUGAGGUGUGCGGAAUUCGUGGUGUAGCGGUGAAAUGCUUAGAUAUCACGCAGAACCCCGAUUGCGAAGGCAGCCUGCCAAGCCAUUACUGACGCUGAUGCACGAAAG